CUGUCCUUCCAGUAUGUGACUCAAGAAAAAAUUCUAAAACAUUGGUAUUAAACAAUUGCAUUAAAAAGAGAAAAUCGAGUGUCAUCAAAAUUCAAACCCGAUCUGUAUUUUGUGGUAAUAAGCAUUGUGUACAAGUUUCAUAACAUUAAUUUAUUUGGUUGAGGCAAACUCAAGAGUAUGGGAACCAACCUUUGGACAUGGGGUAAAACUUAAUGCAUCUUUCUUUAUAGCAGGGUAGGGGGGUUUAAAAACACAUACUUAUUU
RNAcentral lists this long non-coding RNA (264 nucleotides) under Mytilus galloprovincialis (Mediterranean mussel). The record is from RNAcentral. Lineage: Eukaryota; Metazoa; Mollusca; Bivalvia; Mytilida; Mytilidae.